RNAcentral lists this long non-coding RNA (2039 nucleotides) under Lotus japonicus. RNAcentral describes it as "long non-coding RNA (LJAP_LNC002207)". The record is from RNAcentral. Lineage: Eukaryota; Viridiplantae; Streptophyta; Magnoliopsida; Fabales; Fabaceae.
GACAAUGCAAAAGGGGCAUGAAUCACAACCAUUUUCCUUAUCUCUAUGAUAGUAAGGCCAAAUAGCUCCAUCGUGUAUCAGCCUUUUACAACAUUCAACUUGAGUAAGAGGGCUACCACAACUACAAGGCAGGUCUUUAUUUAUAAGGCACUGAAUAUCGGGAAGCUGUAACAUUCUUCUGUAAACACGUUUUUGCAAAUCACUCAUUGCACAGAAUACAAUGUUAUCUUCCUUCCCCAUCAUAAGAUGCCCAAUGGUCUCCUCCUUUGUCCUUCUCAACAUAUAUUUACGAAGAACUGUCACAAGGUGUUGCUUUCUCUUAUUAGCAAUUUGGACAAACCUAUCAGGAGCAGUUGACCUCUGGCCCAGCUUAAGGGGUUCAUCGUAGAAAUCAUGAAAGUGUUCCCUUGUUCCAAGGGAUCCAGGUGCAACCCAGUCAAAGAGAUUGAACAAUUCCAUAAUCUUAUUUUGCAUUACGGUCCCAGUAAGACCAUAGCGUCUCAGGGUUUUGAUUUCUAAACAUGCUUUAUAGAGUUUUGAUCUAUCAUUCUUAAGUCGAUGAGCCUCAUCAAUAAUCACGACGUUCCAGUUGAUAUCUAAAAAGGAUCUGCCAUGAAUUCUGUAACUGUCAAAACUGGUAAUAAGUAUCUCCACUCCAUUUGCUUGCAAUUUAUCAUAUACCAGAUCCCGGUUUGCACCAUGAUAAAUGGAAACACUGAAGUUAGACCACUUAGAGAAUUCGUCCUCCCAGUUGUGAAUAACAGAACUUGGGCAAAUUAUUAAUACCGGGUCUCUUUUCUUUACCCAGUUUUCACUUAGAACAGACUCUCCUUCUUUACCAAAGAUGGCAGCAAGAAAUGCUAUAGCUUGAAUGGUCUUUCCAAGACCCCUGUUUCAAAUUUCAACAUCCCAAAAUGAACUUCCACUUGGUAAUUGAAGUCAGAAUUGUGAUAAAAAGAACCAAAUUUCACAAGAACAGAAGAAAAGUAUAAAAAGUAAAAGUAUACCAACAAAUAAAAGACACAAAACAGAAUAUAAAGUCCACAAAAAAGCAGCAAACUCAGCAUCUUUAAUUUGUUUGUCAGGAUCAUCUUUGGGGUUUGGCUUAAUCAGCUCAAGGUGAUUGCUUAUCUAGCAUAAAGAAACAGCAAUAUUAAAAAUAAUGCAAAAGAGCAUCAUGAACAUGAUCUUAAACAAGCUUGUUCAUGGAAGCAGGACAUAAACAUGGUGUAAACUGAAAGGCAACAGUGCUUAACACUUUUUAACCAAAGGUUAAGGCUGGAUUUUAAUUGCCGAGAGACUAACUGUGCCUUGUACAACAUUAUCUUAAAAGACAAAAAAAACAUCAAUGAAAUUUGCAAUUCAAUCAAAUCACAGAUCCUUGGUUCACUUAGAAGUUAUUUUUCCUAGAAAUUAUGAUACUAUUACUUGGCACUGGUUUCGAAAACUUCUUUUAUAUCAAAUCCUAAGACUCAUCUAAGCAUUUAUUUCUCCACAGAGCAAGUAGAUCUCAUUCAAGUACAUAAUUUAAUGUGAAAAUAGAGAAUUUUGUACAUAAACGAGAUCUAGAAAAGUCAUUAGUUAAUCAUUUAACUUUUAGCAAAAUAUAUCUUCUCGAGUUCAGCCAUUGCCUUUCUUUCUUUUCCGGUUUUCCCUCUUAAAAUUAUUGAUUGCUCUUAAGGAUAUUUUGCAAUGAAAAUGUAAUAAAAAUAGAGGUAAAAAAUUUCAAAGGUCUCACUUUACCUGUUGAAGCUUGAGGAGGCAUGGAAGGACAAUGCAAAAGGGGCAUGAAUCACAACCAUUUUCCUUAUCUCUAUGAUAGUAAGGCCAAAUAGCUCCAUCGUGUAUCAGCCUUUUACAACAUUCAACUUGAGUAAGAGGGCUACCACAACUACAAGGCAGGUCUUUAUUUAUAAGGCACUGAAUAUCGGGAAGCUGUAACAUUCUUCUGUAAACACGUUUUUGCAAAUCACUCAUUGCACAGAAUACAAUGUUAUCUUCCUUCCCCAUCAUAAGAUGCCCAAUGGUCUCCUCCUUUG